This 292-nucleotide ribosomal RNA is filed under the name uncultured Alphaproteobacteria bacterium. RNAcentral describes it as "partial 16S ribosomal RNA". The record is from RNAcentral. Lineage: Bacteria; Pseudomonadati; Pseudomonadota; Alphaproteobacteria.
GGACUACCGGGGUAUCUAAUCCUGUUUGCUCCCCACGCUUUCGCGCCUCAGCGUCAGUAUUGGCCCAGAAAGUCGCCUUCGCCUCUGGUGUUCUUCCUAAUAUCUACGAAUUUCACCUCUACACUAGGAAUUCCACUUUCCUCUACCAAUCUCUAGCUAACCAGUAUUAAACGCAGUUCCUGGGUUAAGCCCAGGGAUUUCACGCCUAACUUGAUUUGCCGCCUACGCGCCCUUUACGCCCAGUAAUUCCGAACAACGCUAGCCCCCUCCGUCUUACCGCGGCGGCUGGCAC